Molecule: transfer RNA, 73 nt
Filed under: Aerococcus christensenii
Lineage: Bacteria; Bacillati; Bacillota; Bacilli; Lactobacillales; Aerococcaceae
Rfam family: tRNA
About the family: Transfer RNA (tRNA) molecules are approximately 80 nucleotides in length. Their secondary structure includes four short double-helical elements and three loops (D, anti-codon, and T loops).
Source: Rfam by way of RNAcentral
GCUGCAGUAGCUCAGCUGGUAGAGCGUCGCCUUGGUAAGGCGGAGGUCGUGGGUUCAAGUCCCAUCUGUAGCU